Molecule: long non-coding RNA, 1574 nt
Filed under: Paramuricea clavata
Lineage: Eukaryota; Metazoa; Cnidaria; Anthozoa; Malacalcyonacea; Plexauridae
Source: RNAcentral
CUAAUUUUGUGAUGCUCUUUCAAGCUGUGGUGAAAAUUUUGUCUAGACUUGUUGAGUUCAAAAUUUUGAUUAAUAUGGGAUUGGUCCAUUGCAUCGAUCCCUACCAACGAAAGCUUGUUGCAAGGUUGUUACAACAAGCUGGGAUCAGGUUGUGGUUGCACUACUUGUUGAGAAGUUGUUUUGUGCUUUUAACAAACUUGCUAUAUGAUUGUUCCAUCCUAACUUAUCGACAAGUUGUUCCACGACAGACUCGGUUCCAACUUGUUAUACAACCGCACAACAGACUUGUUACAAGUUUCGUGUAACAAGUCGAUCACACUGUUUGUUGCCAAGUUGUUGCAUCAGCCUACAACAGAUUUGAAAAGUCGAUACGAGGUCAUGCUCACAAUGCCUGUUACCAAAAUGCAGCCAGCAAACCAGUAUUCGCACUACUGGUUCCCAUGUAGAUGAGAACAUACGACAAGAUUAGGAAUCUAUUUGUCCAAAAUGUGUAAAUAGACCUUCAUCUCCCGAAGUAAAAUAAUGUAAAAAUUGCGUGAACGAUGAACAUUUAAUGUACAUUAGCAAAUAAAUAUUCUACAAACUGUAAUAUUUUGUACACAGAAGAAAAUGUAAAAAUUGUGAAUACAUUAAACAAGCCAUCUGUAAGAUGGUAAAUGCCCGUCUCUAAUCUGCUUGUAAAUCUGUUUCUAUAAAGUUGGAAUUUGCAAUUCGCGUAGCACCUUAGAAAACUUUACUAUAUACAAAGGAAUAUCAUAUAUCUAGUUUAAUUUGGUCAGGUUCGUCGAGACAAUCGCUUGUAUUCUAAGAAAAGCUCACUCGCACUCAAAGAGUGGAGGUUCAACCUGAGCUUCCCUUGAGUGUCAGUGCUGUUUUUGAAUAGCUGGAGGGUUAGUGUCGUUAACAGGGUUUUAGCCAGGAUUUCGAAAGUGGCCGUCCAAAAUAAUUUUGUGGGCGUGGCCACAUGUUUUUGGGCGUGGCCGCAAUUUUUUGUUGUUGUGGAAUUGUGGUGUUCUAUUCGUUGAACCUUCUUACUUUUGGUUUUAGAUGCACAUUUCCGUCAUGAAAUUAGUAAAAGCACACGUAUGGUAUGCACGUUAGUUAUUUUUAUCAAUCACCGAUAUUUUCCCCCUUUUUUAUGCGUUUGGCUCAUUUUGUAGCCAUCUUUACCGUAAGUAUGUGGCGCUCGAGCGAUACUUCAAUUCAGCCAUAUGUGUCGAUACUUCAAUUCAGGACGGCCGCCUGGCUAACACCCUACUGUCGUACCUUACCAUGUGACUACUCACUCUCCAGCUAUUCAAAAACAGCACUGACACUGAAGGGUAGCUCAGAUUGAACCUCCACUCUUUGAGUGUGAGCAAGCUUUUAGAAUACAGGCGAAUGACCGCUUCUACCAUAAACCGGGCCGACGAGAGCUUCACAUGUGGUCAGUCGAGUCAUUGAUAUGUCGGAUGUGGAAAUUGACGACGUAUUCUGCGUUCGUUCUCUGGACAGAGAUGCCAAAUGGUGCAAAAGGAUGGAAUGUGAAUGCCACCAAACGUCGAGCUGAUGGUGGCGAUGGUCGACCCAGGAAU